AAAUAAAAAAAUGGUAUGCAGUUGGAACAGCGCCCUUAGCGGCAAACGUAGGCGAAUGUUCCAACUCCAUACAAAUUUAAAUUA
This is a non-coding RNA of Bombyx mori (domestic silkworm), 84 nucleotides long. Lineage: Eukaryota; Metazoa; Arthropoda; Insecta; Lepidoptera; Bombycidae. The record is from Rfam.